Mus musculus (house mouse) is the source of this 607-nucleotide long non-coding RNA. RefSeq annotates it as predicted gene, 32359. The transcript is spliced from 3 exons. The record is from RefSeq and is a predicted model, not a curated record. Lineage: Eukaryota; Metazoa; Chordata; Mammalia; Rodentia; Muridae.
GCCUCUGGUCCUCCUCUGCAGCCAGCUCAGCGUGACCAGCAGGCCACGUGAUUCCUGUACAUUGAGGCCUAAUUGAUGAGGUUUUGAUGCUUAAAUGGAGUGCUGAUUGCAGGAGUUGCAAGGAGCUGCUGCCAGCCAGGGCUCAGAGGAAAGCCCUUGAGAGUGGAGUAAGCCACAGAUGGCAAGAUGCUGAGGAACUUGAGGAAUUUGUACAGGAGUCAUAAAGAGUCGGGAGCUACAGAAUCGAGUGGGAGAAACUAGGAAGACUGCAGAGCAAUGGACAACUCUGACUUUAUAAAUGGUUACCUGCCAUGGAGAUUUGGAGGAAAGGAAUCUGGUAUUUACACGAAGAUUAAAGUACCAGUCAUUACAGUGAAUUAGACCUCCAAGUAAUAGCACUCCAGUUUCUAUGGAAGAAGAGCCAGUCCAGGACAUAUCUUCAUUGGCAACUUGAGAUGACCUUGGCCUUAGUCCCAAAUCUUGCUGUGUAGAUUAAAAGCAUACCUUUGGACCUGCGCUAGGAUCUCAUCUUCCCCACUUUCCAACUGUGCAGCCUCACUUGGGUUAUCUAACCUCUUUGUUUCUCAUUAGCGAAAUGGGAUCAAGU